UACCCGAAUGUGGAAACCCAGUGUGACUCGUCUCACUAUCAUUAACUGAAUCCAUAGGUUAAUGUGGCGAACCGGGUGAUCUGAAACAUCUAAGUACCCCGAGGAAUAUAAAUCACCCGAGAUUCCCCCAGUAGCGGCGAGCGAACGGGGAGGAGCCCAGAGCCUUAAUCAGCAUGUUUGUUAGUGGAAGCGUCUGGAAUGGCGCGCGAUACAGGGUGACUGUACCGUACACAAAAGCGCAUGUGUUGUGAGCUCGAUGAGUAGGGCGGGACACGUGGUAUCCUGUCUGAAUAUGGGGGGACCAUCCUCCAAGGCUAAAUACUCCUGACUGACCGAUAGUGAACCAGUACCGUGAGGGAAAGGCGAAAAGAACCCCGGCGAGGGGAGUGAAAAAGAACCUGAAACCGUGUACGUACAAGCAGUGGGAGCACCCUUUUGGGUGUGACUGCGUACCUUUUGUAUAAUGGGUCAGCGAAUUAUAUUAUGUAGCAAGGUUAACAGAAUAGGGGAGCCGGAGGGAAACCGAGUAUUAAUUGGGCGUUAAGUUGCAGGGUAUAGACCCGAAACCCGG
Molecule: ribosomal RNA, 571 nt
Filed under: Salmonella enterica subsp. enterica serovar Oslo
Lineage: Bacteria; Pseudomonadati; Pseudomonadota; Gammaproteobacteria; Enterobacterales; Enterobacteriaceae
Description: partial 23S ribosomal RNA
Rfam family: Bacterial large subunit ribosomal RNA
Source: RNAcentral